This 253-nucleotide ribosomal RNA is filed under the name uncultured bacterium. RNAcentral describes it as "partial 16S ribosomal RNA". It matches the Rfam family "Bacterial small subunit ribosomal RNA", at positions 524 to 776 of the family's 1533-position model. The record is from RNAcentral.
UACGUAGGGGGCAAGCGUUGUCCGGAUUCAUUGGGCGUAGAGAGCGUGUAGGCGGCCAGGCAGGUCCGCUGUGAAAACUCGAGGCUCAACCUCGAGAUGUCGGUGGAAACCGUCUGGCUAGAGUCCGGAAGAGGAGAGUGGAAUUCCCGGUGUAGCGGUGAAAUGCGCAGAUAUCGGGAAGAACACCCGUGGCGAAGGCGGCUCUCUGGGACGGUACUGACGCUGAGACGCGAAAGCGUGGGGAGCGAACAGG